GAUGGACCGCUCGCGCUCUCCUCCUACUUCUCCCACGAGCUCCUGGAUGCGCGGCGGCUGCACGCGCCCCUGCUGAUUGUUUCCAACGGCAGCAGCACGAGCGAAGAGUUUAACGGUUUUAACGGGAAGAAGGAGAAGAAGAAGAGGAGCACCGAGAGGAGGAGGAAGAGGAAGGGAACCACCGAGGAGAACCGUGCAGCUCCCUGUCUCUGGUGACUCAACACGAUCACACAGUCUUCUCUACGCUCCUCUCAUGCUCACUGAGAAUGGAUGAUACACAAGACUUGGUUCAGAUUGGAGAGAACAGAUUCAUUAGCAAGACAACUGUCCUCUCACAUCUUAAAACAUACAACCUGUAUUAUGAAGGACAGAAUCUACAGCUACGGCACAGAGAGGAAGAGGGGGAGCUGAUUGUCGAGGGCUUGCUGAACAUCUUUUGGGGCCUGCGGCGUCCAAUCAGGCUUCAGAUGCAGGAUGACCACGAGCGAAUACGACCACCUCCCUCCUCCACGUCCUGGCACUCCGGUUGUAAUCUGGACAGUCAAGGUUCCCCCAACAGCACAGAUGGUCAACAGACGACACAGCAGAGCCCACCUACAGUGGAAGUGACGCCACCUGAGAGCCAACCAGAGGACAACGGUGUGACGGAGGAAGAGAUAGAAGAGGACAGUGAGAGCUCCACUCAGCUGCUCAGAACGAAGAGUGAUGCCGGGGUCUUAAGACGGGGCCAGCGAAGGUCCCCCAGCGACCAGAGGAAAAUCCGCCGCCAUCGAUUCUCCAUCAAUGGGCACUUCUACAAUCAUAAGACAGCAGUGUUCACUCCUGCUUAUGGUUCAGUCACUAAUGUUCGCAUCAACAGCUGCAUGACCACACCUCAGGUGCUACGAGUUCUCCUCAACAAGUUUAAAAUUGAAAACAGCCCAGAUGAUUUUGCCCUCUACCUCGUCCAUGCAAGUGGAGAGCGAGUGAAACUGAAGAGGACUGACUAUCCCCUGGUGCUGAGAAUAAUGCAGGGUCCAUGUGAGCAGGUCUGCAAAGUUUUCCUCAUGGAGGAAGACCUGGGAGAAGAAGUCACAUAUGAUGUGGCGCAGUAUAUCAAGUUUGAGAUGCCUGUCCUGCAGAGUUUCAUCACCAAACUGAAAGAAGAGGAGGACAGAGAGGUGCAGAAACUCAGGAGAAGAUAUAAUUACCUGCGGUGUAUAAUUGAGAAGAAGCUCAGUUGUUUUCCAGAGGGAGCGACGUGUAUGUGAUCAACUCACGAUUGCAGACAUGAAGUGACAGAAAUCAUGAGAAGAGCUGCCUGUCGUGUUCCUCGGAGUGAGUUUCACCUCAAUAAUAAGGUGAGUGUACCAACAGCUACAUAACAUUGCAGUCCAGUGAGUUCAGACUUCAGUGUCUUAAUAACUGGGCUCUCAAAACAACAUUUAGAAUGCUUUUUGUUCACUCUUACAAUAUAUUUUCUUUCACGUCUGUGUUGUGUACAUAAUUGUUUAUUUACUUGUGUGUGUGUACUAUGCAUGUGGCUGGAAAAGAACUCAUACAGGUGCAGUGUGGGUUCUCCAUUUAACUUGUACAAUGAUACAAAGUUUGAUUUUUGAUGAAGCUGUUUAUAUCACUGCAUUAAUUCAGCACUAUUGAUCAUGUGACAGUGCUGCAUUUUAAAAAAGACUGUGCACAAGAAACAUACUUAGUGCAGUUGGGCAAAUGCAAAUUUCAAUAAUUAAUAGUCAUUUUACCAUUUCAAAAACAAGUCACAUAUUGGAUGUGUUAGCUGAGAAUAACUGGAGACAUCCUCAGACAAAAUGCGUAUUAGUCAGGGGGUGUGCAUGUAAAUGGUGGAUUGGCUCCCCCUUCUGACAGCGAGAGUAGCAACACAGUGUAGACACAUACUUAUGACAUAUUACACGUCGCCUUCGAUCGCUUAUAUGUCACACUGGUGUUCCUGACAUUUAGCCGGUCUGACUGUGUGUUUUAGGCACUGAGAGAGACGAAAUUACUCUUUUCAAUUUAGAUAAAUCUGACUGCAGUGAAGCAGUGGGGGUCAGAGAUGAUAAUAGUAAAUUUUAAUACUGCUAAUAAUACCUAGGAGGCGCUAGUCUUCACUAACUUUAAAUCCCAGAUCAACCUCAUGAAAAACAACAGGUUAAAUGUAUAAAACAUUUACCUGCACCUUUAUUCAUGUUUAAAAGAAUUUAAAUGGUGUGAUAAGAAAUUACCAGUGUGUGUGGGACCUGACCAAAAAGGUAAGUAUUGUGUGCUGGUGCACCUAAGAGCCCAGUCUUUUUUCAGACUCUUAUCCUUAUUUUGAAGAUUGAGUGUCUCUGAAUCAUCGGAUUUUUUCUUAAAGGCUUGUUUGGUUUCUCUACCAAACUCUUAGCUGCUGUACUUUACACUGUCUCCAUUGCAAAAGUUGCACCUCUACCACCGCUCUGGCAAAUCAAUCAUUGUUGGCUGAUGUAAAACUUCACCACUGAUGUACCAGAGCUGGAGUGUUGCCACAAAGACCAGAUUUAAGAUUCUGGCCUGUCACAAAAUACAGAGAUUUACCUCCUGCUGACAGUUAAUCAGCAUUGUGUGAAAUCGUUUGGCAAGUGCUCGAAUGUAACAGACAGAAGCGGUGUUACAUAAGAUUUCACUAAUAGCGUCUUGAAAAAAAAAGGAGAGCCAAGUGUCAGAAAAUAGACGUUUAUCCUUCCAUGGUUAGACGUUGGCACAGUGAAUAAAUAGAAACAAGUAAAGAAAGGACAGUGGCCUGAAUAGAAGUGAGAGUUGUAUAAUUGGUGACUGGACAAUUAAGAGUUCAGAUCUUCCUUUUGAAUAGAGACAUUACAAGUGCAAUUACAAUCUUCUACAGAGAGUGCUGCAUUAUGGAGUGUUUGUAGCUUUAAUACUGCUAAAGUAGAAAGUGCUUUCUAGUCUGUUUAUUCAGUUUUUUGGAGGUUCAAUUUGCAGGAGCUUGUGAAGGCUCCUGUAAUGUUUUUCUGUCACGGAGUAACUAAUUAAUGCUUCUUGCAGAAAUGAAGCAGGGAGAAAUAUCUAAUGAAGCCAACAGCUAAGAAUCUAGGCUGUCACAGAACAUCUUGCUGUCAGAAUAAUUUAUAAGAAGCUACAAUAUCAUUAAAAAAUCCAUACACAGCGUCUUUAAAUGUGUAUUGGUGUCUUGUAGUAUCCCCCUAAAUAACUGGCUGAGCUCUUGUAAGCCAGUCAUAGGUCUGUAUUUAUCAGGUAUUUUUAAACCUCACACAGAUUAUCUUGAUGCUGUACAGUUCCUAGUUUGCCUGUAGCUUUCUGAAUUGGUGAUGGUCACUCUGUCAAGCUCCUAAUGAUUAGUUUUAUGGAUCGAAACUAAUCGCAUUUCCAAGAAGUCUCUGUUCUUUCUCCAUUGUAUUCAAAUAGUUUCUGUUCUCCAGAAAGGUACCUCUGUCCUGCUGUGAGAGAUUAGCACAUCAUGUGAGAGAGAUCAAAGCAGGAAGAGCUAACUGGAUUACAAAACCCCAUACUGGUUUCAGUGGAUUCUGCAGGUUUAAGACACUGCAGUUGCUCACCUGAAGGACUUCAGCAGGAGUCAGAGGUUUGUCCGACACCACGGGAGCCUUGUCUCUCAUCUCCUCCACCUAAAAGGGACAGAGAAAAAUAGGACAAAUACACAGUUUGGUUAUUUUGUGGAUCCAAAAAGUAAACUUUUCAUGGGCACAGAGCAACAGGUCCGUUUCUGGAUAUGUGAGAAAGACAUUUUUAGACAACCUGCCGGGGUUUAUAUGUUGUAUUUAAAUGCCUUGCAGAGAGUUAAAAUGAGAAUAUUGAUCACUCCUACAUCAGUACAGAACAGUUAGCAGCAGUAGCACAAAGACUGGAAAGGGGGGAACGUGUAAAUGUUGCUUUCUCUGUAAAAAAAUAUAUAAAUGUGCAUGGCUGGGCUGAUUAAUGAGUGAGCUUUCAGUGAUUUUGUUACCACUAGAUGAAGCCAAAUUGGCUGUUUUCCCUCUUUUUCCAGUCUUUGUUAAGCUAACUGAUGGCUGCAGCAUCAUUUUCCCGUACAACCUUGAUUCUUAGCUUCCAGCAAGAGAGCAAAUAAACGCAUUUUCCCAAAAAGAUGAACAGGAACAUUUGGCAUCUGGACAAAUACAGUCAAGAUCGGUGACUCAUAUUCUGCAAUUAUAUAUGUAGCUUGUAACAUAAUAUAUAAAAAUUAUAAACAUUAAAACAUUCAACUAUAGAGAGGUGAACUCCCAUCCCUUUUCGCAAAAAAAAGUGCAGACAAAUAAUAUUUUGACUGUAUUUGAAUUGCACCAUGAAUUACAGAUUUGCCAGUUUAAAAGACAAUCUUGCAAGAAAGAAAGUUGUGGUUUGUCUUAAAACUGUUUUAAGUAUUAGACUGUGAAAAUAUGUGAUUAGAAUUAGAAAGACAGCUCGCCCCAAAGUGACAUCAUCGUAAUUUUAGCUGCUGAGGAUCGAGAGACAGAUUUACUCCAUUCUUACAACCGUCGCUUUCAACAUGACCAGACUUGUGGGGAUUUUUUUGAGAAUAAUUUUUUUUUCUUAUUCUGGAAGAACAAAGUGAAAUGUGUCAAACGAGACGAGAUAACUUUAUUUACAAGUUACUUGUUGUGAAGUCCUGUAGUGGCAUCCUAUUAUUAGAUGAAGAUGAUGCUUUAUUGAUCCUCAGGAGGAAAUUUACAAACUACUCUGCAGUAAAUACUAAAAUUAGCUUUAGUUUAAGUAUAUAUUGAUGCAAGUACUCCUGUACUUUUACUGAAGCAACAAUCUGCAGGUCUUUUCCUCUUUACAGAAUAUUUGUUUACCACUGCUCCCGCCUCCAAAGUGUCAAGAUGUUUUUUGUACACUUGACAAUUUGUGCUCUCUUGCGAGGACUGUUUUCCACUCAUGUUCUGUGAUCUUGUAUCAUGUGCACAUGCCUGGUUUUGAUGUGGAGAGGUUCUGAGUCUAAUAAAAGACCCUAAUCUUAUCCUGUUCUGUGUGAGUGUUUCAGCAGCGCACUGACCGGCCUGUCUUUGAUGAUGAGAGCUGGGUCCGCCAACAUGUCAGUACUGACCGACGGUGUGUUUGCUCCUGAGUUUUCUACUGGGGGAGGAGCAGCAGUCUUCUGCAAAAAUCGUAAAAAACAUCAGGUAAGACCAACAUCUUGCACCUAACUACACGAUAAAGCUGCUCUAGUUUACUUCUUCUUCAGUGGUGGAAUUUGUUUCCCUCAGAAAUGUGUUAUACUUAUUGGUCAAUGAAAAGUUUUACACUUCGUCUAAAAAAAUAAGAACAUUUUAAAUAUAUAUGUUAUAAAGGAUUCACAAGGGUCCAGUUAAAAUGAACAAGGGUUGGCUGAAAGACAAUUUAUUAUGAUCGUAAAUUUUUAACCAAAAACACCAAAUAUUUUCCUGUCUCAGCUUUAAUUUUUUCGUAAAUUUUCAUAAUAGUGCAGAAGAUAUAUUUACAUAUUGGACUAUUGCUAAAAUCAUAUUAUAUUAUUCAAGGUUGCUUCUCCCAGCUCUGGGAAGUUAUUACUGGCAUUUUUUACUGCGUCGUUCAGGCUAAAUCUCCCAUCAAUUACUGAACUUAAUUUGCUAAUAAUGAAUUGGAAGUUCAGAAAAAAAUGUUUUUUUCCCUCAUGGGUGCAAAGACUGAAUGUACAAAGCGUCAGUGACCUGCAUAGCAGCUAUUUAACAGCAGGAAUGUUAAGCAGCGUACAGCUUGCUCUAAUCAAGACAUUCAAUGCAGCCCUAAGAUUAUAAGUGGACUGUAAAGGUCGAACCUCUAGUUUGGGAACAGGUGGGAUGACGGGGGGUUUUGGUUUGAGGUCUGUCAGGUACAUGGCUCUGGAGAGCAGCAGCAGCGAUGGAGGAACGUUCUCCUUCAGGUGCAGGUCCAGCCACUAGAGGAAAGGAACAUUUAUGAAAGAUGAUCAAUGAAAAGGCGGUAAAGUAUGCGUUUUUAACAAACACGUCUGUUCCAAGUGAAGCUACAAAUUCCCACAAAUGCAAAUGAUACUGUAUGUUUUGAUAAAUGAAAAUGAAAAUUCACUGGUUAAAAGAUUUGUAUUCAGUGGAAUCUUAGAUUAGUUUCUGUCAAGCCAUAACAAGCUACAUUUAGCUGUUCACCUGCUGCAGCUGCUGACGUAGCUGAUCAGUGGUGAGGCCCAGAGACCUCAUCCCACGACUACGACACGCCGCCUGCAACUCUGACACACUCAUGGCUGGCACACCCUCUGCUGCAAUCAUCUGUGAAGAAACAGAGCGAGGAGGUAAAAAAAACUGUUGCACAAGCAUAAAAUCUGAUGACAUUUCUGCACCAAAAGUGACAACAAAAGAAGCCAGAAUUUCUUCUGUGUCUCUGAGUUUAUACCAUUACUUUCACACUUUCACUGUGGGGACAUUACUGCUAUGUUUCAGGGUUCCUGCCUUUAAGGGUGCCAUACGCUUUUAUUAAUUCUACAACAAUAUUCACAAAAUCAGUUUACAGAGACUUGGAACUUCCUUCACACACAGCAGUCCCAGCCUUGGCUCAUGUAUUAGCUGCAAUGUAUAUAUUUGAUUUGGACACUGAAGAACUUUACAUGACGUAUCUACAGGAAAGCAGAAUGCUAUCCAAGUCAAUGCACCACUUUUUCCUAAUGGCAUCAGGCACGUUUGUAAACUGCCAUUUUAUUUAAUUUCAAUCUUCAGGUGGCAUUCCUGUCCCUAACUUCAAACUCCAAAAAUUCCUGGAGAAUCCCUGCAUUUUUAAGAGUUUUUUUCCAGCUGUCUUUUUUAAUCACCUUGUCAGACCACAUUUCACUUAACACCUUGGUCUCCUCCUCCUUCUCCAGACCGCCUACUUUACUUUCCUAUAAUUGGUCCUGAAGUCCCAACCAUACAAAAGAUAUUUCCACACUAGAAAUGGACUGAACCACUGUUCAGUCUGAGCAGGACUAACACCAACACAGUUUCAUCGGAUCAAUGAUUGACUGUUCAAAUCAAACUGGAAAGUCUGAAAAGCCGGACCAAAUGAGUUAGGUAUGAAAGGCCCUUAGUCGCCUUCAUUUCUUGCCAAAACUGUAUUAGUGUGAUGUGCUGAGACAAGUAAAAGUAAAGACUGUCAUGAAAAUUUCUUUCAAAAAAUGGCAGAAAAAAAUCUGGAGUCUACAGCGACUGAUCAUUUAUCAGCCUAUAACCGUAUCAUCAAUGUGACAUCUACAGUAUAUCUGCCUGAAAGAUAGUUUCCAGAAUACAGCAAAUCGUGCAAUCUACUAGCAUUUUAAACUUUGAGCAUCUCCUCCUCUCAUGACUACAAAAUUCUGCUGGCAGUUCCUGAGCCACUAAACUACCAGGUACCAGCCCUCUGUUUCACCUCAUCAUCCGACUUGAUUGUUCUGAGUUGCAUCAUCAGCUGAAAACGCAGCAAAUUGUUGGUGCCGAUGGGCUGCAGCUCCAGCAGUUUGCACAGAGCCACCAGCUGGGGGCGCUCCAGGUGCUCCAGCGUCAGCUCGUCCUCAAAUAGCUUCGAAAACCGGACGAUGUCCUUCGUGGUCGGCUGCUCCCCCGUCACCCGAACCUGAAAACAACACAGUCGUUAACGUGAAGCAAUGAAACAAUCCCCUCCUAAUGUCACACAGCUUGGCUAUCAGUGGUCAAAACUGAAGCAUUUCAUAUCAGAGAUGCUCUUCUCCAACACUUUUUAAAAUGUUCUCAUUAAUAUUGCUUUUUACGUUAAUUAUAACCAAUCUUCUAUGCAUCUUAGAUAAAAUCAUAUACAAUUCAGUUUAUUUACUGAACCUAGUAACUUUUUAAAAACAUAGCAGGCAACAGUCAAACUUUAAAAACAGUACAGCUCCAAAGAAACAGCAUUGAAAAUGAACUUAACCAUGAGCUACACAAUGUGUGACAAACAAUGUGAAGAGUUAUCUUUGCAGUAACCCACCUGUUGAACAUAUGUGGAAAAGCGCUGCGUCUCAUCCUCUGUCUGAACUUUUGCUUUAUUCCUUCGGGCCAUUUCAGCAAUGGUCUCUUGGAGAAACUUGGCCAGUUCCAACUUUGCAGCUAGACCCUUCUUCUGCUUCUCCUCCUGCACAAAGAGGACAGAAGAGGCCGGAGCACGAGAGCAUAUCUGUGAACCAUUCAGCUGUGAUCCAGAACAACCAGAGAUCCUCAGAGUUAACAGGUUGGACGCACCCACACAGAAAUCUACUACUUCUUUUAUUUUCCAGGAGAUGUAAUGUGAAUGCCAUAUUAUUGGUAUAAUUACAAUACAUUUUGCUACAGGGAAACACACAUGUUAGUGUGGCUAACUGAGCACCUGCUGAGGCUGUGUAUAACAGAUCAUGAACGACAACAUAGCAGAAAACUAAGUGAAUAAUAUAAAAUAUGUGUUCAUAUAUGAAGUUAGAAUUGCUGGCAUAUACUGUACAUUAACAAACACCUGUAAAAGUCAGUGUAUCUGUUAGUACUACUGCACUGAAUGCUUCUAUAAGUGGCAAACCUGAAUCAGGUCCCGAAGUAAAUUGCCGAGAUUAGAUAAGUCAGCUGCCUUUUACAUGAACAAAAGGUUCCUGGUACAGCAGCCACAUCUGAGAGGAGGUUACAUAAUCACAAUGAACACUGUCGCGAGGUCAUGCAGGUGGCAGGGUGUGUGCGUCUGUCUGUGUGUAUAUGAACACAUGCCUUUUUGGACUCUGUCUCGAAGGUGGAGGGCAACAUCUCUGGGAAGAGUUUGAGGAAGACUGGAAGGAGGAACUCCAUGAAAGGAACGAUGAUAAACACCAUGAAGGGCACCAGACGGAAGAGGUCAGCACAGGUCCUCAUCAGCUGUAAACACAAAGAAACACAAUGCUGAUGUUACAAAACAGGGGACAGUCAUUUCAUGUCACUGCGCUGCUGUUAGGCCCCAAGGCUGGAGAGUGGGGUUUGCCUGCAAGAUCCAUUACAUGUGCCUGCUGGCCCUCUUCUAAAAUAGCCCAAAUAUAGUUUCACCAAGGCAUGUGCACAGCGUGAAACUCUGCAUGUGCAUAUGUGUGCACCAACCAGUCAACAGGACACACAGUAACAGUAUGUCCUUUCUCAAAGCUCUAUCAGGGCUAUGUCUUCAUGAAGCUGCAGAUAGCUUAUCUCAAAUAUGCUGAAUAUGUUCUAUAAUGAAAUAGGAAGAACUUUUCAGCACAGUCAUAUCUAGUGUGUAAAAGCGAGUGACUAACUAGGUGUAACUUUUCGUAGUCAGGAAGAGCAAAGUGACACACAAAAUUCAUGAUUACUGACAGUGAAACUGCUCAUGUAAAACUUUGUUUAUCCAUGUGUACAUGCACAACGUAGAGUUUGGAAAGUAAUGAUCUCGCACCUCAAUUUGAACAAAAAUGCCAAUAUACUGGUUUCUUUACCUUUGGUUAACACUAACAAUUACAAGUUUACAACUUAGCAUUGCCUCGCCGCUUCAUUGACAUGUCACAGCAUCUGCUGUGUCCAGUAUUACUCAGUCCAUGGCAUCUGCAGUUUAUAGACGAUAAAAUAGCAGUCGCCUCUGUUAUGGUUUGAUUUAUCUUUGAAGCAGAAUGGACUGACAAACUUGUUGGAGCAUUUGUAGUCGUUUUUGUAUGUACGGAGAUAUUUUGUCGAACAAUGUUUGUCUGGACAUUGGUGGAGAAUAUUAAUCUAGAUAAA
Molecule: RNA transcript, 9638 nt
Organism: Amphiprion ocellaris (clown anemonefish)
Lineage: Eukaryota; Metazoa; Chordata; Actinopteri; Pomacentridae
Gene: rassf2a
Gene name: Ras association domain family member 2a
Exons: 13
Source: RefSeq, a predicted model, not a curated record